RNAcentral lists this transfer RNA (84 nucleotides) under Micromonospora coriariae. RNAcentral describes it as "tRNA_Leu_TAG". It matches the Rfam family "tRNA". Rfam says of the family: Transfer RNA (tRNA) molecules are approximately 80 nucleotides in length. Their secondary structure includes four short double-helical elements and three loops (D, anti-codon, and T loops). Further hydrogen bonds mediate the characteristic L-shaped molecular structure. tRNAs have two regions of fundamental functional importance: the anti-codon, which is responsible for specific mRNA codon recognition, and the 3' end, to which the tRNAs corresponding amino acid is attached (by aminoacyl-tRNA synthetases). tRNAs cope with the degeneracy of the genetic code in two manners: having more than one tRNA (with a specific anti-codon) for a particular amino acid; and 'wobble' base-pairing, i.e. permitting non-standard base-pairing at the 3rd anti-codon position. Lineage: Bacteria; Bacillati; Actinomycetota; Actinomycetes; Micromonosporales; Micromonosporaceae. The record is from RNAcentral. RNAcentral also lists the same sequence under 1 other name.
GCGGGAGUGGCGUAACGGCAGCCGCGGUAGGUUUAGGUCCUAUUGUCCUAUUUGGACGUGGGGGUUCGAAUCCCCUCUCCCGCA